UAUGUGCCUUUGGACUACAUCGU
This 23-nucleotide non-coding RNA is filed under the name Mus musculus (house mouse). RNAcentral also lists the same sequence under 2 other names. The record is from RNAcentral. Lineage: Eukaryota; Metazoa; Chordata; Mammalia; Rodentia; Muridae.